UUGAAACACUGCUUCCCAUGUGAUCAUUGAAGUUAAGCAACAUUGAAUGUAGUUAGUACUUAGAUGGGUGACCAUUUUGGAAUACCAGGUGUUAUA
Acanthosepion pharaonis is the source of this 96-nucleotide non-coding RNA. The record is from the annotation of a GenBank genome assembly. Lineage: Eukaryota; Metazoa; Mollusca; Cephalopoda; Sepiida; Sepiidae.